This 376-nucleotide ribosomal RNA is filed under the name Rumina decollata. Its description in RNAcentral is "partial 12S ribosomal RNA". The record is from RNAcentral. Lineage: Eukaryota; Metazoa; Mollusca; Gastropoda; Stylommatophora; Subulinidae.
UCUAAUAGAAACUUUCUUAACCUAAGCAGUACAAUGGCUCACAUCAUUAAAACUUUAAAAUUGUGGCGGCAGCUUAAGCACUCAGGGGAACUUACCAUGUAAUUGAUAACCAACAAGAGACCUUUACCUGUCCUCAUAAUUAGUAUACCGCCGUCUUUAAACUCUCCUGAGGAGAGUUUAAAAAACACACCUUUAAUAUGACAGGUCAUGGUGCUGUAAAUGUUCAGGAAUUUGAGGUGAGUUACAAUACCAGAUGGCUGUACGGAUUAUGCUAUUAAUUCCCAUAUGAAGAAGGACUUGAUUGUAAAGGUCAUCCUGUGUUUAACUAGCUUGAUCAUAAAAGACAAUUAGGCCUUGAAAAGAAAUUAGGCUGUGU